AUCGCUUCUCGGCCUUUUGGCUAAGAUCAAGUGUAGCAUUUGGAAUAUAAUCAAAACAAAUAUAAAAUCGGAACAUAGCUUUCCUGGUUUUCUUGAUAUUGUUUUCAUAGUAGUAGCAGGGACACCCCUU
RNAcentral lists this small nuclear RNA (130 nucleotides) under Podarcis muralis (Common wall lizard). RNAcentral's name for it is "U2 spliceosomal RNA (ENSPMRG00000000620.1)". It matches the Rfam family "U2 spliceosomal RNA". Rfam says of the family: U2 is a small nuclear RNA (snRNA) component of the spliceosome (involved in pre-mRNA splicing). Lineage: Eukaryota; Metazoa; Chordata; Lepidosauria; Squamata; Lacertidae. The record is from Rfam by way of RNAcentral.